Molecule: ribosomal RNA, 451 nt
Filed under: uncultured bacterium
Lineage: Bacteria
Description: partial 16S ribosomal RNA
Rfam family: Bacterial small subunit ribosomal RNA
Source: RNAcentral
GUGGGGAAUAUUGGACAAUGGGCGAAAGCCUGAUCCAGCCAUGCCGCGUGUGUGAAGAAGGCCUUUUGGUUGUAAAGCACUUUAAGCGAGGAGGAGGAGCUUCAGGUUAAUACCCUGGAUGCUUGGACGUUACUCGCAGAAUAAGCACCGGCUAACUCUGUGCCAGCAGCCGCGGUAAUACAGAGGGUGCAAGCGUUAAUCGGAUUUACUGGGCGUAAAGCGUGCGUAGGCGGCUAAUUAAGUCAAAUGUGAAAUCCCCGAGCUUAACUUGGGAAUUGCAUUCGAUACUGGUUAGCUAGAGUAUGGGAGAGGAUGGUAGAAUUCCAGGUGUAGCGGUGAAAUGCGUAGAUAUGCGGAGGAACACCGAUGGCGAAGGCAAUCCCCUGGGCCUGCACUGACGCUCAUGCACGAAAGCGUGGGGAGCAAACAGGAUUAGAUACCCCGGUAGUCC